Molecule: ribosomal RNA, 132 nt
Filed under: Mus pahari (shrew mouse)
Lineage: Eukaryota; Metazoa; Chordata; Mammalia; Rodentia; Muridae
Description: rRNA (MGP_PahariEiJ_G0032584.1)
Source: RNAcentral
CUCUGCGGCAAUACCACCCUGAAUGCUCCCAGUCUCAUCUGAUCUCAGAAGAUAAGCAUGAUCAGGCCUGGUUAGUACUUGAAUGGGAGGUUUUUACCUUCUUAAGAAGGUAUAGUCUAUUGGUUAUAGAUG